GGACUACACGGGUAUCUAAUCCUGUUCGCUCCCCACGCUUUCGCUCCUCAGCGUCAGUGCCGGCCCAGCCCACUGCCUUCGCCAUCGGUGUUCUUCCUGAUAUCUGCGCAUUUCACCGCUACACCAGGAGUUCCAUGGGCCCCUACCGGACUCUAGCUAUAGCAGUAUCGGAUGGCGACUCCAGGUUGAGCCUGGAGGUUUCACAUCCGACUUACCAAGCCGCCUACGAGCUCUUUACGCCCAAUGAAUCCGGACAACGCUCGCUCCCUACGUAUUACCGCGGCUGCUGGCAC
RNAcentral lists this ribosomal RNA (293 nucleotides) under uncultured bacterium. RNAcentral's name for it is "partial 16S ribosomal RNA". The record is from RNAcentral.